RNAcentral lists this ribosomal RNA (256 nucleotides) under Morganella morganii. RNAcentral describes it as "partial 16S ribosomal RNA". It matches the Rfam family "Bacterial small subunit ribosomal RNA", at positions 1 to 253 of the family's 1533-position model. RNAcentral also lists the same sequence under 1 other name. The record is from RNAcentral. Lineage: Bacteria; Pseudomonadati; Pseudomonadota; Gammaproteobacteria; Enterobacterales; Morganellaceae.
UAAUUGAAGAGUUUGAUCAUGGCUCAGAUUGAACGCUGGCGGCAGGCCUAACACAUGCAAGUCGGGCGGUAACAGGGAGAAGCUUGCUUCUCUGCUGACGAGCGGCGGACGGGUGAGUAAUGUAUGGGGAUCUGCCUGAUGGCGGGGGAUAACUACUGGAAACGGUAGCUAAUACCGCAUAAUGUCUUCGGACCAAAGCGGGGGACCUCCGGGCCUCGCGCCAUCAGAUGAACCCAUAUGGGAUUAGCUAGUAGGU